UUUAAAUAGUUUAAUUUAAAAAUUUUGGUUUGUGGUACCGAAGAUAUAAUAGAAUUUAUUUUAAAUCA
RNAcentral lists this transfer RNA (68 nucleotides) under Cherax cairnsensis. RNAcentral's name for it is "tRNA-His". Lineage: Eukaryota; Metazoa; Arthropoda; Malacostraca; Decapoda; Parastacidae. The record is from RNAcentral.